This 467-nucleotide ribosomal RNA is filed under the name uncultured bacterium. RNAcentral describes it as "partial 16S ribosomal RNA". It matches the Rfam family "Bacterial small subunit ribosomal RNA", at positions 28 to 507 of the family's 1533-position model. The record is from RNAcentral.
GAUGAACGCUGACAGAAUGCUUAACACAUGCAAGUCAACCUGAAUGUGGGCUUUUAACUUAGGCUUGGGUGGCGGACGGGUGAGUAACGCGUAAAGAACUUGCCUCACAGCUAGGGACAACAUUUGGAAACGAAUGCUAAUACCUAAUAUUAUGAUAAUAGGGCAUCCUAUAAUUAUGAAAGCUAUAAGCGCUGUGAGAGAGCUUUGCGUCCCAUUAGCUAGUUGGAGAGGUAACGGAUCACCAAGGCGAUGAUGGGUAGCCGGCCUGAGAGGGUGAUCGGCCACAAGGGGACUGAGACACGGCCCUUACUCACACGGGAGGGAGGAGUGGGGAAUAGUGGACAAUGGACCGAGAGUCUGAUGCAGCAAUUCUGUGUGCACGAUGAAGUUUGUCGGAAUGUAAAGUGCUUUCAGUUGGGAAGAAACAAAUGACGGUACCAACAGAAGAAGUGACGGCUAAAUACGUG